ACAGCAGCAGCCGCGGGAAUACAGAGGGUGCGAGCGUUAAUCGGAUUUACUGGGCGUAAAGCGUGCGUAGGCGGCUUCUUAAGUCGGAUGUGAAAUCCCUGAGCUUAACUUAGGAAUUGCAUUCGAUACUGGGAAGCUAGAGUAUGGGAGAGGAUGGUAGAAUUCCAGGUGUAGCGGUGAAAUGCGUAGAGAUCUGGAGGAAUACCGAUGGCGAAGGCAGCCAUCUGGCCUAAUACUGACGCUGAGGUACGAAAGCAUGGGGAGCAAACAGGAUUAGAGACCCGCGUAGUCCCUGUCUCUUAUAA
This 305-nucleotide ribosomal RNA is filed under the name uncultured bacterium. RNAcentral's name for it is "partial 16S ribosomal RNA". It matches the Rfam family "Bacterial small subunit ribosomal RNA", at positions 505 to 809 of the family's 1533-position model. The record is from RNAcentral.